RNAcentral lists this non-coding RNA (30 nucleotides) under Homo sapiens (human). The record is from RNAcentral. Lineage: Eukaryota; Metazoa; Chordata; Mammalia; Primates; Hominidae.
AGUGAUCUUCACCUCAUCUGCACCUGUCUC